RNAcentral lists this long non-coding RNA (2662 nucleotides) under Salvia miltiorrhiza (redroot sage). RNAcentral describes it as "long non-coding RNA (SMIL_LNC005587)". Lineage: Eukaryota; Viridiplantae; Streptophyta; Magnoliopsida; Lamiales; Lamiaceae. The record is from RNAcentral.
CCCCACUCUCCCUCUCUCUGUCAUCUUUUUCCUCCAUUACCACCAUUAAAGUGAGCUUCAAGCUCCUUAGAUCCAUUUCAAGAGAGUAAUCCUUCUCUACUUCUUAAUCUAAACACUUUCUAUCUUCCUUAAUUCCAGAAAUCCUUGAGUUUAGUCUUGAAGCUAGAGAGAGAAAACUUUGUUCUUGGUAUAAUCUUGGGUAAGUGGCUUUGAUAUUCAUGAAAUUAGUGGUCUAUGAUGUUGUAUAUGAGUUUAUAUGGAUGAUUGAUGCAAGAAAACACCCCCUCACCCCUUUUAUAAAUUUUCGAAAAUUUAGGGUUAAACCCUUCAAAAAAAUUCUUUUUCUUUCCUUAAAUUGGGGUGAGAAAUGUGUUCUAUGUGAUGUUUGGUGAUGAUUGAUGUGUGUAUUGUGAGGAUAUGUCUUGUGAUGCAAAUUUUUGCAUAGUUUAGUUUGACUAAAAAUUGGGAGAUCAUUGAGUUUAUGGUUUGAAUAAUAAAUUGAUGAUGAGUAUGAGCUUAUGAGGUGAUUAACAUGAUAAUUGAUGGAUUGGAUUGAUGAUUGGAAGUGAUGGAUGGAAUUUUGGAAUGAGUUAGUUUGAUGAAAAUUAGGCAUAUGUGUCUCUAUGCUUUAAAUGGUUAAUUGAUGAUUUAUGUAUGUGAUUAAGUGGCCUAAAAUGAUAGACCUAAGGUUAGAGUAAUGUUUCAUUUGCAUUUGUGAAGUUUCGAAAAGUCUAGUUUAUCAAAAAUCGGAACUUUCAUGUCUUAUGUGCUUGGUUUAAGAAAAAUUUUUUGGGGCAGCUCUGGCUCCGAGCUGACUAUUCUGCUCUGCUCUGCCGAGUCAUUCUGCUCUGCUCUGUCUAAGUAUACUAUUUUCUGGGGCAGCUCUAGCCUCCGAGCUGACUAUUCUACUCUGCUUUGUCGAGCUAUUCUGCUCUGCCCUGUCGAGCUAUUCUACUCUGCUCUGUCGAGCUAUUCUGCUCUGCUCUGUCGAGUUAUUCUUCUCUGCUUUGCCGAGCUAUUCUGCUCUGGCGUUCGAGCUGAUUCUGCUCUUCUGUUGAACUCACAUUACUCUGGCUACCGAGUAAUCUCUGCUCUGGCCACCGAGCUGAGUCUAAUGAGUCAAAUGUUUGCUUGUAUGUUGAAUGUGGAGUCGUUUUGCAACUCUUUUGUACCUACUGUUUCGUGAAGUUAUUGUUACCCAAACACCAUGAAAAUUUUAUGAUAAGUAUAUAUGAGAAUCUUGACAUACUGGUAAAAUUUCAAGCCUUUUGGCAACGUUUACUAUUUUUCAAAAAUCAAAGUUUUCAAUUGCUCAAAACUGCCGAAUAUGGUAGGCUGUAAGAAAACAACCAUAUCUUUUGAAAUACUUGGAGUUUUGCAUCCUACUUUGUUUUAAAAGAAACUAGACUCAAAGAGGUUUCCAAUUAUAUGAGUUUCGACCCCAGUAGAGUUUUGGAGUGAAUUUGGUGAAGUCUUUAAUUUGUGAAAAUGCAGAAUGAUGUUAUUUGUGACAUGUCUAUAUGUGUGAACUUGUAUGCUUAUUGUGCUUAUGCAUGUCUAUGUGCUUGUUUGCUAUGAGUUUAAUCCGAGUUGAGUGUUAAGUUGAGAGUAGGACUUGCGAAUCCUUAGGAGUUAAGUAUACAUAGGGAUUGAGAUUUAUUUGGAUAAAUAGAAGAUGAGUGAAUAGUUAUAGCUUGAGACGAGAUUGGAUUUUAGUAAAUGAGUUUCUCACUGAGGUUUAUUUUAUCACAUGAACCUUCGAUGACGAUGAUGAAGAUAUAUGAAGGCCCGAGCGAGACGAAGAAGUAAGUCGCCUGUUUUCUUUCCAAGCUUGAGCGAAGGACUUCAGGUGGGCAAUAUUUUGAGUAUUCUUGUAUCAUAUGAGCUUUCUAAAAUGAUUUGAUGAUGAUGUGAGUUUAUCAAAUGUUUUGAGAUAAAUGAUGUUUAAAAACUGUUUGACUUGCCAAUUUUUUAUGUUGAGCCUGUAUGUUACCCUCUACUGAUGAGAUGAGACGAAUUCGGUCCUGCUACAAGCGGGAUUUUGUGCACAGAGGUGACUGUGAGCCGUCUUCGGGUCGGCCGGUCACGGUACUUGAGAGUGAGGCCUACUUCUCAGUACCUUUGAUAAUGAUGAGUUGUAGAUGUGGUGCAUACAUGUUGAGAUCUUUGACUGCAGUCGUUUCUUUAUGAUGUCAUGAUUAUUAAAACUGCUUACACAGGUUCAUUUACGCUAAAUUUAUUCCUGUGUAUUGCUAAGAUGUGGCAAGUUUCAAACUUAUAGCUCUAAGAGCAGCUUUUCUUGUUUUUCGGCGUUUGCCCGCUGAGUAUUAUAUACUCACGCCCUGCAUGUAUUUUUAAAUGUGCAGGUUAAGCGAUGGAGCGAGAUUGGACUGGUGUUGGCGGGGAUUAUUUUGUUGAUGAAUUUUCUUUGUUGCUUUCCUUUUCUUGAUAGAGUCCUAACGAUGAUACACUUUGCUUUCCUUUUGAAUGUUGAUAAAACCUUAAUGAUGAGAUACAUUGUUUUCUUUUUAAUCAAGCAAUUUACUCGCGAUUAUAUGUCUUCAUACAUAUGAUCGAUUCACCUUUUGCUGCGAGACUCUGAAUUUUAUGAUACCUUAUGAAUAUUGAGCUAGACCUCGUUUGUAUCUGUCUUCGAGAUUCA